GACGAACGCUGGCGGCGUGCCUAAUACAUGCAAGUUGAGCGCUGAAGGUUGGUACUUGUACCAACUGGAUGAGCAGCGAACGGGUGAGUAACGCGUGGGGAAUCUGCCUUUGAGCGGGGGACAACAUUUGGAAACGAAUGCUAAUACCGCAUAAAAACUUUAAACACAAGUUUUAAGUUUGAAAGAUGCAAUUGCAUCACUCAAAGAUGAUCCCGCGUUGUAUUAGCUAGUUGGUGAGGUAAAGGCUCACCAAGGCGAUGAUACAUAGCCGACCUGAGAGGGGGAGCGGCCACAUUGGGACUGAGACACGGCCCAAACUCCUACGGGAGGCAGCAGUAGGGAAUCUUCGGCAAUGGACGAAAGUCUGACCGAGCAACGCCGCGUGAGUGAAGAAGGUUUUCGGAUCGUAAAACUCUGUUGGUAGAGAAGAACGUUGGUGAGAGUGGAAAGCGCAUAAAGUGACGGUAACUACCCAGAAAGGGACGGCUAACUACGUG
RNAcentral lists this ribosomal RNA (497 nucleotides) under uncultured bacterium. RNAcentral's name for it is "partial 16S ribosomal RNA". It matches the Rfam family "Bacterial small subunit ribosomal RNA", at positions 28 to 507 of the family's 1533-position model. The record is from RNAcentral.